RNAcentral lists this transfer-messenger RNA (359 nucleotides) under Clostridia. RNAcentral's name for it is "UMGS1781 sp004554705 Standard tmRNA". It matches the Rfam family "transfer-messenger RNA". From Rfam's summary of the family: Bacterial tmRNA, also known as 10Sa RNA or SsrA, is named for its dual tRNA and mRNA-like properties. Its role is to liberate the mRNA from a stalled ribosome. To accomplish this part of the tmRNA is used as a reading frame that ends in a translation stop signal. The record is from RNAcentral. Lineage: Bacteria; Bacillati; Bacillota. RNAcentral also lists the same sequence under 1 other name.
GGGGAUGUAUUUUGGUUUCGACGGUAUUUUUGAAAUAUAAAUAGCGAGUAGUGGAUGGUCGCUUUGGCCACUUUAAAAAAGCGAAAUAAAAAUAAACGCUGAUAAUGAAUUAGCAUACGCUGCCUAAGUAUGGCAACGUCGUUUUACUGUGAGGCCUACUGGUACAGAUAAAGCGUCGAAAUAAAGUAGGAAACAAAAUUGCUCUUCGCCUUAAGAACAAUGGGUAUUAUAAAGGCUACUAAGAAUUUAAGCGUGUUUAUUUGCAAGAAUUCAAGGGAAUUUUAAAUAAUAAACUACACUCGUAGAAGUUUAUAUAGAAAGAAUAUUGGACGAGGGUUCGACUCCCUCCAUCUCCACCA